This 1019-nucleotide ribosomal RNA is filed under the name uncultured Lactobacillus sp. RNAcentral describes it as "bacterial SSU rRNA". It matches the Rfam family "Bacterial small subunit ribosomal RNA", at positions 369 to 1381 of the family's 1533-position model. Lineage: Bacteria; Bacillati; Bacillota; Bacilli; Lactobacillales; Lactobacillaceae. The record is from RNAcentral.
CAAUGGACGCAAGUCUGAUGGAGCAACGCCGCGUGAGUGAAGAAGGGUUUCGGCUCGUAAAGCUCUGUUGGUAGUGAAGAAAGAUAGAGGUAGUAACUGGCCUUUAUUUGACGGUAAUUACCUAGAAAGUCACGGCUAACUACGUGCCAGCAGCCGCGGUAAUACGUAGGUGGCAAGCGUUAUCCGGAUUUAUUGGGCGUAAAGCGAGCGCAGGCGGUUGCUUAGGUCUGAUGUGAAAGCCUUCGGCUUAACCGAAGAAGUGCAUCGGAAACCGGGCGACUUGAGUGCAGAAGAGGACAGUGGAACUCCAUGUGUAGCGGUGGAAUGCGUAGAUAUAUGGAAGAACACCAGUGGCGAAGGCGGCUGUCUGGUCUGCAACUGACGCUGAGGCUCGAAAGCAUGGGUAGCGAACAGGAUUAGAUACCCUGGUAGUCCAUGCCGUAAACGAUGAGUGCUAGGUGUUGGAGGGUUUCCGCCCUUCAGUGCCGGAGCUAACGCAUUAAGCACUCCGCCUGGGGAGUACGACCGCAAGGUUGAAACUCAAAGGAAUUGACGGGGGCCCGCACAAGCGGUGGAGCAUGUGGUUUAAUUCGAAGCUACGCGAAGAACCUUACCAGGUCUUGACAUCUUGCGCUAACCUUAGAGAUAAGGCGUUCCCUUCGGGGACGCAAUGACAGGUGGUGCAUGGUCGUCGUCAGCUCGUGUCGUGAGAUGUUGGGUUAAGUCCCGCAACGAGCGCAACCCUUGUUACUAAUUGCCAGCAUUAAGUUGGGCACUCUAGCAAGACUGCCGGUGACAAACCGGAGGAAGGUGGGGAUGACGUCAAAUCAUCAUGCCCCUUAUGACCUGGGCUACACACGUGCUACAAUGGACGGUACAACGAGUCGCAAGACCGCGAGGUUUAGCAAAUCUCUUAAAGCCGUUCUCAGUUCGGAUUGUAGGCUGCAACUCGCCUACAUGAAGUCGGAAUCGCUAGUAAUCGCGGAUCAGCAUGCCGCGGUGAAUACGUUCCCGGGCCU